RNAcentral lists this ribosomal RNA (490 nucleotides) under uncultured bacterium. Its description in RNAcentral is "partial 16S ribosomal RNA". It matches the Rfam family "Bacterial small subunit ribosomal RNA", at positions 30 to 507 of the family's 1533-position model. The record is from RNAcentral.
AUUGAACGCUGGCGGCAUGCCUUACACAUGCAAGUCGAACGGCAGCAUGAUCUAGCUUGCUAGAUUGAUGGCGAGUGGCGGACGGGUGAGUAAUACAUCGGAACGUGCCCUGUAGUGGGGGAUAACUAGACGAAAGAUUAGCUAAUACCGCAUACGACCUGAGGGUGAAAGUGGGGGACCGCAAGGCCUCAUGCUAUAGGAGCGGCCGAUGUCUGAUUAGCUAGUUGGUGAGGUAAAGGCUCACCAAGGCGACGAUCAGUAGCUGGUCUGAGAGGACGAUCAGCCACACUGGGACUGAGACACGGCCCAGACUCCUACGGGAGGCAGCAGUGGGGAAUUUUGGACAAUGGGCGAAAGCCUGAUCCAGCAAUGCCGCGUGUGUGAAGAAGGCCUUCGGGUUGUAAAGCACUUUUGUCCGGAAAGAAAUGGCUCUGGUUAAUACCUGGGGUCGAUGACGGUACCGGAAGAAUAAGGACCGGCUAACUACGUG